This 237-nucleotide ribosomal RNA is filed under the name uncultured Gammaproteobacteria bacterium. RNAcentral describes it as "partial 16S ribosomal RNA". It matches the Rfam family "Bacterial small subunit ribosomal RNA", at positions 505 to 745 of the family's 1533-position model. Lineage: Bacteria; Pseudomonadati; Pseudomonadota; Gammaproteobacteria. The record is from RNAcentral.
GUGCCAGCAACUGCGGUAAUACGGAGGGUGCAAGCGUUAAUCGGAAUUACUGGGCGUAAAGCGCACGCAGGCGGUCUGACAAGUCGGAUGUGAAAUCCCCGGGCUCAACCCGGGAACUGCAUUCGAAACUGUCAGGCUGGAGUCUUGUAGAGGGGUAGAAUUCCAGGUGUAGCGGUGAAAUGCGUAGAGAUCUGGAGGAAUACCGGUGCGAAGGCGGCCCCUGGACAAAGACUGACG